Long non-coding RNA from Stomoxys calcitrans (stable fly), 2606 nucleotides. RefSeq lists it as uncharacterized. The record is from RefSeq and is a predicted model, not a curated record. NCBI's taxonomy places the organism in Eukaryota, Metazoa, Arthropoda, Insecta, Diptera, Muscidae. The transcript has 2 exons.
UGAUGCCUUUCAGAUAUUUCUGAUUUGUUGGUGGUACGUGAGAGUGUGUUCGUUCUAUACUUUUUGUGUGUUUAUUAUUCUUGUUGCUGCGAAAUAGGACGGGCCAAUAACGCCAAAAAUAUUAAAAGGAUUUACUUUUUAACACAAGGAUAAGACGACAACAACCACAAAAUCAAGCUUUAUAACAAAACAACAACAGAUGCGGGGUGGAUGAAAAAAGGGUAAAAUUGGAAUCAGUGUUGGCAAAAGGAGGAGAAAAUAAAUAAAAGCAGGGUUGUGAAAAUUAUGGUACAACUUAGUUAAAAACGCGCGACAUAAGGCACGAAUAUUGGCAUUGAAAUGAAUAAAUAGAUAACAAGCGCAAAGCACUAUAGACAAGAACUCUUUUCCCGUUAUAUAACAAAAGUUGAUAUUUUAAAUUUGUUUCUAAAAACGUUGGUGCAUCGGAGCUAAAAUUCUCGCAGACAUACAUGUACGUCGUCCGAUAUUGUUCAGGGAGCUCCCUGAAAGCAUCUUUGCAUUUUAUUUGUUUUGUCAAUUUUCGUUCCUAUCCAUUUUCUUUGCUUUGCGAUUAUUUUAGGGCUUUCUUUUAUUGUUGAGACUUGAUUUCUUUUUGUAUUCUUUCAUAAAAAACUUGAUUUUGUUUUUGUUUUCAAUGACGUCAUUAACACUUUUGCUAAAUCACAGUAUUUCGCUUUUUUUUAAUUCUAUUUUGCAUGAACCAUAGAAUUUUUUGUUGUAUUUUUUAUUAUCAUCAGCUAUUAUUUUUUGUCGCACAUGAACUUGAUAAAAUUGCGUGAGAAAUAGGCAUGAUUUGCAAGGUACGGCAGCAAAUAGCCGCCAAGAAUUAUGCCAACUUGUAAAAAUGGUCAAUGUCUAACUUUUCCAAAAAUCCAUUUCGAGUUGACAAUGAGCUUGAUAGCACACCAGUUUCCCUUUUUGUGUCCAUGUUAUAUUUGAAAAUUAAAUAAAAUUUAUGAUUUUUCCAUGCUCAAAAAUAUAAUCACACGGCGAGAAAAUCCAAAAUGGCGCGUUUGUAGUUACAUUUUUUCUUCUGUUUGAUAAAAGAACUGAACUUUAUUUUAAAUUUAAUUAACAUCAAAUUUUGCACACAUUCAAAUCACAAAUGUGUACGAACUAAUUAUUAACUUUUAUUGUCGUUUUUAAGAUAUUUUCAUCCAAUUUUUUAUUUAACUUAAGCAAUAAAAGACGAGUAUGUAGCUGUCAAAUAGAGAAUGAAAAAAUCGAUUUUGAAUCUCGCAAAUUUAAAAACAUCCCUGGCUUGAUAAAUAUGUAGUCGAUGAUUGGUAAAGAAUAUCGAUAAAUUGGAAUAGUUGAUAUAACUUUAAGAUGGUUCGCAUACUCCGAUUCGAAGAAAAUUCUUUGAUAAAAAAAAUAAAACAACGCACAAUGCUAUUAUGCUUAUUCGUUCGUAAACUACAGGCAUUUCUCCAUAAUUUUUCUCAUCGCACUGUGCUAAGUAGUGUUAAAAUGUGUACGAAAUAAAGUAAAGAAACUCACUCAACACGUACAUACGACGAAUAAAAGUUUGAUGCGCCCAGUUUACACCAAGAAAGUAGAGUCAUACGGCCAGCCAAAGGCGCUAUUACACGGCAUGUAGAUGUCUUAUGACAUGUCACUUUUUGUAUUCACAUGUAAUUGAAAAUGUUUGUCAAAAUUGUAAAUUUACAUAUGCCGUUGCCGUUGACAGAUACUGCACUUCGCGUGAAAAAAUUGUACUCAGCUAUUCACGGUACACUACCUGGUAAUUAUAUCAUGGUUGUAAUGAUAAAAUUCCUACCAUAAAAUACUUUUCGAAGAAGUAAUGGUUCGUUGUUCACAGUUGAAAACAGAGGUUUUUCGCAAUUACUUUUUUGAAACGCUAGAAAAAUCUCAAGAGAACAUAAUAUUUUUAUUGAAAUUGUUUCAUAAAGGUUGCUUUCGGAAUAGUUGGCAUUUUUAAUUGUUCAGCAAGCGGAAUUUGAGAGUAAUCAAAUGUUUUUGUUUUCAUACCAAAACACGUUUUUUUAUUAGCACGUAUUGUGUUCUCCAUUUUAUUUAUUUUUUUCGCAAAACGAACCAUUGACACCAAAAAAACAUACAAAAAAUAUAAGUGGAGUACUUCCUGUCCGCUCAUUUUUAGCCAAUGUUUCGCCAACGUUUUUUAUAUGGAGUUUGACAGCAUUCCACCUGAAAAGCUGAAUAGAAUACUCAGCUUUAGUUAUGGGGAUAUAUCCUACAGUAAUCGCGAAAUUUUUUCGCAAAAGCGAAUAUAUUGGGUUGCCCAAAAAGUAAUUGCGGAUUUUUUAAAAGAAAGUAAAUGCAUUUUUAAUAAAACUUAGAAUGAACUUUAAUCAAAUGUACUUUUUUACACUUUUUUCUAAAGCAAGCUAAAAGUAACAGCUGAUAACUGACAGAAGAAAGAAUGCAAUUACAGAGUCACAAGCUGUGAAAAAAUUUGUCAACGCCGACUAUAUGUAGCGGCUUCUUGGUAGCGUCAUUAGCACAACAACAAAAUCUACCUCCAACUAAACUACCUUGAAUGGCAAAUACCGUAUAUUGAAAUGUCAAAGUGGUUUUCGAAAUAAACUUUGUUUUACAAGUUA